Molecule: long non-coding RNA, 150 nt
Organism: Salvelinus namaycush (lake trout)
Lineage: Eukaryota; Metazoa; Chordata; Actinopteri; Salmoniformes; Salmonidae
Exons: 3
Source: RefSeq, a predicted model, not a curated record
GUACAAGACCUCACCCCUUCACUUCACUCUACUGCAGGGUGGGAGAUGCAACAAUGGCCUUGAGAACAGCAGGAAGUGUGUUGGUGGUCUUUCUCUGGUCUGUAGCAGUGGUACUGGGUCAGGAUGGCUGGAGAGUAACUUAUACCACUC